GACGAACGCUGGCGGCGUGCUUAACACAUGCAAGUCGAGCGGUAAGGCCCUUUCGGGGGUACACGAGCGGCGAACGGGUGAGUAACACGUGGGUGACCUGCCCUCAGCUCUGGGAUAAGCCUGGGAAACCGGGUCUAAUACCGGAUAUGACUCCAUGACGCAUGUUGUGGGGUGGAAAGCCUUGUGCGGCUGGAGGAUGGGCCCGCGGCCUAUCAGCUUGUGGUGGGGUGAUGGCCUACAAGCGACGACGGUAGCGGCCUGAGAGGGCGACCGGCCACACUGGGACUGAGACACGG
This 296-nucleotide ribosomal RNA is filed under the name uncultured bacterium. RNAcentral's name for it is "partial 16S ribosomal RNA". It matches the Rfam family "Bacterial small subunit ribosomal RNA", at positions 28 to 329 of the family's 1533-position model. The record is from RNAcentral.